This 482-nucleotide ribosomal RNA is filed under the name uncultured bacterium. RNAcentral's name for it is "bacterial SSU rRNA". It matches the Rfam family "Bacterial small subunit ribosomal RNA", at positions 30 to 506 of the family's 1533-position model. The record is from RNAcentral.
UUGAACGCUGGCGGCAUGCCUUACAUAUGCAAGUCGAACGGUAACGCGGGGCAACCUGGCGACGAGUGGCGAACGGGUGAGUAAUGCAUCGGAACGUGCCCAGUAGUGGGGGAUAGCCCGGCGAAAGCCGGAUUAAUACCGCAUACGACCUACGGGUGAAAGCGGGGGACUCGCAAGAGCCUCGCGCUAUUGGAGCGGCCGAUGUCAGAUUAGGUAGUUGGUGGGGUAAAGGCCUACCAAGCCGACGAUCUGUAGCUGGUCUGAGAGGACGACCAGCCACACUGGGACUGAGACACGGCCCAGACUCCUACGGGAGGCAGCAGUGGGGAAUUUUGGACAAUGGGCGCAAGCCUGAUCCAGCAAUGCCGCGUGCAGGAUGAAGGCCUUCGGGUUGUAAACUGCUUUUGUACGGAACGAAACGGUGAGCUCUAAUACAGUUUGCUAAUGACGGUACCGUAAGAAUAAGCACCGGCUAACUACGU